Oncorhynchus kisutch (coho salmon) is the source of this 1703-nucleotide long non-coding RNA. RefSeq lists it as uncharacterized. The transcript has 2 exons. NCBI's taxonomy places the organism in Eukaryota, Metazoa, Chordata, Actinopteri, Salmoniformes, Salmonidae. The record is from RefSeq and is a predicted model, not a curated record.
AACCCCAUAGACCGCUCUGUUUCCUGGUCCACAACAUCACUGAGAAGGUAGCUAACCCCAUAGACCGCUCUGUUUCCUGGUCCAUAACAUCACUGAGAAGGUAGCUAACCCCAUAGACCGCUCUGUUUCCUGGUCCACAACAUCACUGAGAAGGUAGCUAACCCCAUAGACCGCUCUGUUUCCUGGUCCACAAUAUCACUGAGAAGGUAGCUAACCCCAUAGACCGCUCUGUUUCCUGGUCCACAACAUCACUGAGAAGGUAGCUAACCCCAUAGACCGCUCUGUUUCCUGGUCCACAACAUCACUGAGAAGGUAGCUAACCCCAUAGACCGCUCUGUUUCCUGGUCCACAACAUCACUGAGAAGGUAGCUAACCCCAUAGACCGCUCUGUUUCCUGGUCCACAACAUCACUGAGAAGGUAGCUAACCCCAUAGAGAGCCCUGGUCCACAACAUCACUGAGAAGGUAGCUAACCCCAUAGAGAGCCCUGGUCCACAACAUCACUGAGAAGGUAGCUAACCCCAUAGAGAGCCCUGGUCCACAACAUCACUGAGAAGGUAGCUAACCCCAUAGACCGCUCUGUUUCCUGGUCCACAACAUCACUGAGAAGGUAGCUAACCCCAUAGACCGCUCUGUUUCCUGGUCCACAACAUCACUGAGAAGGUAGCUAACCCCAUAGACCGCUCUGUUUCCUGGUCCAUAACAUCACUGAGAAGGUAGCUAACCCCAUAGACCGCUCUGUUUCCUGGUCCACAACAUCACUGAGAAGGUAGCUAACCCCAUAGACCGCUCUGUUUCCUGGUCCAUAACAUCACUGAGAAGGUAGCUAACCCCAUAGACCGCUCUGUUUCCUGGUCUACAACAUCACUGAGAAGGUAGCUAACCCCAUAGACCGCUCUGUUUCCUGGUCCACAACAUCACUGAGAAGGUAGCUAACCCCAUAGACCGCUCUGUUUCCUGGUCCACAACAUCACUGAGAAGGUAGCUAACCCCAUAGACCGCUCUGUUUCCUGGUCCACAACAUCACUGAGAAGGUAGCUAACCCCAUAGACCGCUCUGUUUCCUGGUCCACAACAUCACUGAGAAGGUAGCUAACCCCAUAGACCGCUCUGUUUCCUGGUCCACAACAUCACUGAGAAGGUAGCUAACCCCAUAGACCGCUCUGUUUCCUGGUCCACAACAUCACUGAGAAGGUAGCUAACCCCAUAGACCGCUCUGUUUCCUGGUCCACAACAUCACUGAGAAGGUAGCUAACCCCAUAGACCGCUCUGUUUCCUGGUCCACAACAUCACUGAGAAGGUAGCUAACCCCAUAGACCGCUCUGUUUCCUGGUCCACAACAUCACUGAGAAGGGAGCUAACCCCAUAGACCGCUCUGUUUCCUGGUCCACAACAUCACUGAGAAGGGAGCUAACCCCAUAGACCGCUCUGUUUCCUGGUCCACAACAUCACUGAGAAGGGAGCUAACCCCAUAGACCGCUCUGUUUCCUGGUCCACAACAUCACUGAGAAGGUAGCUAACCCCAUAGACCGCUCUGUUUCCUGGUCCACAACAUCACUGAGAAGGUAGCUAACCCCAUAGACCGCUCUGUUUCCUGGUCCACAACAUCACUGAGAAGGUAGCUAACCCCAUAGACCGCUCUGUUUCCUGGUCCACAACAUCACUGAGAAGGGAGCUAACCCCAUAGACCGCUCUGUUUCCUGGU